Molecule: ribosomal RNA, 497 nt
Filed under: uncultured bacterium
Lineage: Bacteria
Description: partial 16S ribosomal RNA
Rfam family: Bacterial small subunit ribosomal RNA
Source: RNAcentral
GAUGAACGCUGGCGGCGUGCCUAAUACAUGCAAGUCGAGCGAACAGACGAGGAGCUUACUCCUCUGACGUUAGCGGCGGACGGGUGAGUAACACGUGGAUAACCUACCUAUAAGACUGGGAUAACUUCGGGAAACCGGAGCUAAUACCGGAUAACAUGUUGAACCGCAUGGUUCAACAGUGAAAGACGGUCUUGCUGUCACUUAUAGAUGGAUCCGGGUCGCAUUAGCUAGUUGGUAAGGUAACGGCUUACCAAGGCAACGAUGCGUAGCCGACCUGAGAGGGUGAUCGGCCACACUGGAACUGAGACACGGUCCAGACUCCUACGGGAGGCAGCAGUAGGGAAUCUUCCGCAAUGGGCGAAAGCCUGACGGAGCAACGCCGCGUGAGUGAAGAAGGUCUUCGGAUCGUAAAACUCUGUUAUUAGGGAAGAACAAAUGUGUAAGUAACUAUGCACGUCUUGACGGUACCUAAUCAGAAAGCCACGGCUAACUACGUG